CCUGUGAGCGGUGGUGGUCUCAGGUAAAACCUUUUAAUGUCUUAUCAAUUGUCGGUUAGAUCUAUAAACGUUUCGGUUUCACCCUUUUGUUUACUAUUAUCUUUGGCUUAAUCCUUUAAAUGUUUCUUUUACAACAUACAUGGUUUGAUUAUGUGUAAUUGUCAAUUAUGUUGUAUGUUUUCAUCUGUUUUAUGCUUUUUUGCUUCGGUUUGCUUGUUGAUUAUAUUUGUGCUGUGUCUAAUUUUGUGAGUUUGUCAAAUUAUGAUGAUAUUUACUUGCUCUGAUUGAUACUGUGUUGCCUAUGCAACACCAUUCUUAAUUGGUUUGUUUAAGUUUAUUUAAGUCGCUAUAUUUUUUAGGAAAGGGUCCGUCCUAAUAUGGCUGCAUAUCUCAAGUUUAACAAUCUCCUUAAUUUUGGUCCCUAAAGAGAAGGCUUUUGUUAUUUUGGUUCUUCACGAAAAGCAGAAUCAUGCAGUAAUUCCUAAUUUGAUUGGUUGUGUGUGAGAAUCUUUUUUUACUAGGAAGAAUAUAUGAUAUUAAAAGAAAGAAUAGGGAAAAAUAAUUGAACGUUUGGUGGUAUGCCAUUGAAUUUUAUUGUUAGUUCUUUUGCAAAAUUAAAACUGAAAUCUAUAUGCAUAUUAAGCAUAAUAGAUGUCAUAUAAAAUUCCAAAGGUCUAGUUAUUAUGAUACUUUGCUCCUAUUUUUGGUUGGAAAUCUCUCGGAUGUCGUUUUCUAUGUUUUGGCAAUGUGAAAAACGAGAGAAAGUAACCCUAAAUCACAUUUUCGUCUUGUCGGUUGUUGAACUUCCUCUUGCGAGGUAGCAUGUUAGUUACCCUAGCUAUGUUGUUUGUCAGAUUUGAUUUUAUUAGAUUGGUCGUGUGGGUACAUGUCAAUGUUGCUCUUAGUAGAAUGACUUAUUUUUGUUUUUGUUGAUCCUUGGAUUUGACUUUGCAAAUCCAACACAUGGAUGGAGGAUUCAUAUGGUCUUGAAAUGCCGUUUCAAACACGUCACUUUGAAUACCAUUAUUGCGUUGAAAUAAUUUAUCUAGUAUUUUGGAGUGAGUGCCGGACAAUAAUAACUUUUAUCCUAAAGCUUAUUAGGGUCAUAUGCUUAGAUUGAAAUAUUUAAGCAGUCCUAUGUAUCUGUAGCAGAAGUGAUCUUUGUAGUAUUAAAUACUUUGGGUGGUUGGAUGCUUCCUAACAUAAUCAUGCGUCUGGAUUUCUAAUGUUAAAUACUUUGGCUAACUAGGAAGUAGGAAUUCUUUGUGUGAAGCAGUACACGACAUAAUCAUGUGGCUGGCUUUCUUCGUAUUUUCCUUCCAAAGUAUGCUUGUUGCCAAAACGCUUAACACAAGUAAAAUAUUAAUUGUCAUUCUUGAGUCAGUUUGAUUUAUUUUAGUACUUGCCCCUACUUCAGUUUGUUUGAUCAAUAUUUUGAUGUGAAAAUUUACUUGUUAUAUAGUCUUAGGUUAACAUCUCAGCUUAUUUAAUCCUAAUAAAUGCUUUAAACUAAUAUACUUGUUUAGUCCUGUCUGAAAUAAUAAAAAGUUAUAGGAAACUAGUCCAAUAUUUAAUUACAACCUUCAAUGCAAUAUGACAACUCAUCUUAGAUUAACAUCUCUCUUCCUUGUCCUUGUCCAGUUUAAGCUCAGCUUUUUUAGUCUCAACAUGUUACCCAUUGUCUUUAUGAAGUUCUCUAUUAUAUGCUUUCUCAAAGUCAGUAGACCAUAUAUGAUGAUCUAUUUGCAAUCUUAAUAUCUUUUUAAGCAUUUCAUUUGCAUGGUUUGUUUUGUUUUGUCUUUCUACUUUCUUAGCUUUUAUUAUUUUGAUUGAAGAAGUUUGUCUGCCAACAUUGGAUAGAGGCCUCAAAUUCAUUUAUCAUUGGUUUGAAGAAAUUUUGUUUUAGUUUUCAAAGUUCUUUGAUUUUUUUGAGCUGACCAGGAACCUAUCAUUGUCUAGUGUCUCUUUUGAGUUCAUGGAUUUGUAUGAUAUUAACUUUGACAUGUUUGCUGCAACAGUCAGAACGGAAAAUUCAGCUAUGGAUAUGCAAGCUCUCCCGGUAAAAGAUCUUCCAUGGAAGAUUUUUAUGAGACAAGAAUUGAUGGUGUUGAUGGAGAGAUAGUUGGCCUGUUUGGAGUCUUUGAUGGUCUCUCUCUCACUACUUUUUGUGUGUGUUGAAUAUUAUCAAUAAUUAUGAAGAGCACAACAAGAUUACUUUUGCAGAAUAUGUAUUCAUGAAAUGCAGAUUUGGUGAUGGAAAAUCCACCAAAUGCAGAAUGCAUUGGUGCUCUGCUCAUUUAUUUAUUAAUUACAUGUAUCUCUCACUCGUCCCUAAUCUUAGUAUUUCUUUUUAUUGUGGAAUAAGUGCUAAUGUGUAUGUAAAAGUGUAGCAUGUUGAGUAUUAUUAUAUCUUUCCAUCUCUAGGCUUUGCAAGUUCUUGGGUUGGUUUCUUUUUGGAUUUAAAUUGAUUAUCUUCCUUGAUGAACAUGCCUUACCCUUACCAUAAGUGGUUGUUAGAUGACAUCAUACUAUUGAUAGAUUAGUACAUUAGCUGCAUUGGCUACCUUUACAUUGCUGUAGUAUCCAAUAGAGGAAAGUUGCAGAAAGGAUUUAUUCUGAUUCAGGUGUUUGACUUCAUAUCACAUCACCAUAUUUUGGCUGGAAUUUUCCCUUAAGUAUGUAGGUAGAUAAUGCAGAAAAUAUUUGUUAUGUUUUCAGGCCAUGGAGGUGCACGUGCUGCUGAAUAUGUGAAACAAAACCUCUUCAGUAAUCUGAUCAGCCAUCCAAAGUUCAUCUCUGAUACAAAAUCAGCUAUAGCUGAUGCAUACAAUCACACAGACUCAGAAUUUCUGAAAUCAGAAAAUAAUCAGAACAGAGAUGCUGGAUCAACUGCUUCCACAGCCAUUCUUGUUGGUGAUCGUUUACUUGUUGCUAAUGUUGGAGAUUCUAGAGCUGUCAUAUGCCGAGGUGGUAAUGGUAAGAUUCAGAAGAAUUACCGGUUAUAAUACUCAGGUUCUGUUAAAUAUGUUUACAUAAGAGAUUUACAGUUUCUCAUACUAUCUCAACUAAUCAGAUACAGUAGGGCUAGGAUAUACUGGUUAAUAAUUAGUAAGAGGACAAUAAAAGUGGAAAUGGUGAGACACAGAAUAUGAGUUAUGUGAUAAGGAGAUGGCAUUGGUAAAAUUGAUGGAAAAGCCUGAAGAGAGAUCUUUGUUCUUUGCCCAUUUUCUGGAGAAGAAGACUGGUUUCCAGUAUGAUAAAAUUUGGAAAUGGUAAUUGGAAUAUAUCCACUCAAUUUAGUAAGAUCAUUACCUUUUUCUAAUGCUUACUGGUUGUUACUUUCAAAAAGGAGAGUGUUGUUAUUCUCUUUUCAUCCAAAUGUGAAAGGAAAACGUCAGUAGUGGGUAGUGCUAUAGGAUAGUUAAAUAAGAAACAACAAAUGCUAUGGGAUGGAGUGUUAAAGAAUUUUUUUUUUUUUAUAAAGAAAAAAUCUUCUACCAUUUGGCAGUUUUAUAAUUAUAUGCCGGAAAGGUUAGACCUCUGUGCCUUUUGAGGACUUUGUUGAAACAUUUUCAGAUUACUUUCUUAUUUAGUUGUUUCACAAUGAAGUUGUUAAAUUUUCUUGCCCUCUUAUGCAGCUAUUGCUGUUUCGAGAGAUCACAAGCCUGACCAAACUGACGAGCGGCAACGGAUUGAGGAUGCUGGAGGGUUUGUGAUGUGGGCAGGGACUUGGAGAGUUGGUGGAGUUCUUGCUGUCUCCCGAGCAUUUGGUGAUAGGCUGUUGAAGCAGUAUGUUGUUGCUGAUCCAGAAAUUCAGGAGGAAAAGAUUGAUAGCUCGCUUGAGUUUCUUAUCCUUGCAAGUGAUGGAUUAUGGGAUGUUGUCACCAAUGAGGUUUGUUGUGAUACCUUUUGUUUCCUAAUGCGGUUUCAUACCAUGGAGGCUGGAUUUCGCUAGAAUUUGAUUAGAUUUCUUUGCAUUUAAACUAAAUUGAGGACAGAGAAUGGGCUGUUCAUUGUUGCCAGCGCCAUCUGAUGUAUAUUUUUUCUCAGGAAGCUGUUGACAUGACCAAGCCAGUCGAUGACCCAGAGCAGGCAGCAAAGAGGUUAUUGCAGGAGGCAUACCAGAGAGGCAGUGCAGACAAUAUUACCUGUGUUGUUGUCCGCUUCUUGGCCAAUCAAGGUGCUACUUCUUGUGGUGCUGUCGGUGUUACUUCUGUGUGAGCAUGCUGUACUGUUGCUGUGCAAAGGGUUUAGUUUUGCAGCUAAUGGGAGAUAUUGGGGUAGAAUUCUGACGGGUAUAGCUAGUCAGGGAAACACAACGGUGGCAUCCUGCUUUGCUAGGAUAGAAAAGAUGGACAAACACAAUGGGCUGCUAAUGCGUAGUAUUACAUUACACAUUUCAGCCUCUAGGAGUAGAACCGUAUCCGAAUCUUAGUUUUCAGUCUUUUGGAAAAUUUGGUCUUGUUAAUCUGUAAAGAGUCUGAAGACUUACCUCUGUGUUGUAAAUGUGCUUUAAACUUCCUUUUGUUGCUUUUGUUCAAUGCUUUUGUAUUUACGGCUUCCGUUCAAUUGUAGCUGGUAAUCCUUCCCUUCAAUUUUGGCUCAGUUGUGCACUGUCGCCUUUUUGAAUCUAUUGUGAAGCUAUAAAUGUGAGAAUAGUCCAGUUUUUGGUACUUCAAAGUAUCGUUGGUAUGCCAAGGAGAAGAUUUGAGAAGUUCAAUCUGUGGUUCCUUGGCUCAGGGCUCUUCUCAGCUUCAAUUCCUGGUAGUGUCUGUAGAUCUUCACAAGAAAAAUAAAUAAAUAAAAGCAGCAGAAGAAGGAGAAGAGAAACAUGGGUUGAUA
This 4842-nucleotide unclassified non-coding RNA is filed under the name Hevea brasiliensis (rubber tree). The record is from RNAcentral. Lineage: Eukaryota; Viridiplantae; Streptophyta; Magnoliopsida; Malpighiales; Euphorbiaceae.